CAGCAGCCGCCGCGGUAAUACAGAGGGUGCGAGCGUUAAUCGGAUUUACUGGGCGUAAAGCGUGCGUAGGCGGCUAAUUGAGUCGGAUGUGAAAUCCCCGAGCUUAACUUGGGAAUUGCAUUCGAUACUGGUUAGCUAGAGUGUGGGAGAGGAUGGUAGAAUUCCAGGUGUAGCGGUGAAAUGCGUAGAGAUCUGGAGGAAUACCGAUGGCGAAGGCAGCCAUCUGGCCUAAUACUGACGCUGAGGUACGAAAGCAUGGGGAGCAAACAGGAUUAGAUACCCCCGUAGUCCCUGUCUCUUAUAC
RNAcentral lists this ribosomal RNA (304 nucleotides) under uncultured bacterium. RNAcentral's name for it is "partial 16S ribosomal RNA". It matches the Rfam family "Bacterial small subunit ribosomal RNA", at positions 506 to 807 of the family's 1533-position model. The record is from RNAcentral.